RNAcentral lists this long non-coding RNA (261 nucleotides) under Lathyrus oleraceus (garden pea). RNAcentral's name for it is "Pisum sativum (pea) long non-coding RNA (PSAT_LNC030470)". Lineage: Eukaryota; Viridiplantae; Streptophyta; Magnoliopsida; Fabales; Fabaceae. The record is from RNAcentral.
UCGAAUACAAAAGUUGACACUUGACAUGAAAAUGUUGGGAAGAAAUUUGAAAGUUUAACAAAUACAAUAUAACAAUAAAAAUAAACGGUUUCAAUACACAUAAAUUAAGAUGUUUCACAUAAAAACUAUUUUGUAACAAAACUAAAAGAAAAUUCGUUGAAGAAGAAACAUAAAAAGUAAAAAAAAAUGAAAACUAACAAAUAAAACUUGAACACGAAUAAGACAACCAUAACUUAAAUGAAUGAAGGUGGCGAGAGAAAC